GUGAGAAAAAACACACAAAAUGUAUCAUCUUAAACAUUUUUAAGUGUAUAGUUCAGUGGUGCUAAAAUAUAUUCAUAUUGGUUUACAACAGAUCUCAGGAAGUUUUUCUUCUUGCAAAACUUAAAGUCUAUACUCAUUAAAUAAGUUUCCUAUCCUCCCUCCCCCUAGCUCCUGCCCAUUUGCACUCUCCUUUCCGUUUCUAUGAAUGGACUACUUUAAAAUACUCCAUAGAACUGGAAUUGUAUAGUAUUUGUCCUUUUGUAACUGGCUUAUUGGUUCCAAAAUCUAAAGCACCUUUAGGAGUAACUGUAUUGUGUUUCUUUUGUGAUAUUUUAAACUAGUAUUUUUUUUCAAUGAAUUGGUCAAUUUCAACUUGCAGCAUAAAAGCUCAUCAUGUUUUAUUAUGGUUGACUACUAUAGAAUCUAUAGGGAAAUAUUUUCUCCUUCUCAUAUCUUUUAUUCCUCUUCGUUCUCUCCCUACAACCCCGUUUACCCUGCAUUAGUCUUACCGAGAGAUGACCAUUAAUCAUCCUUUCAACCGAUGUUUGACUCGUUCCUUGUUUGCCUUAGAGAAUUAAAAUUCACAUUUUAGGCUUCUUGUCUAAUGGAUUUAUUUUCGAUUAUAAAUUAUAUUUCUAGCACUAUUUUAUCUGCUUUCCCGUUUGAUAUUUUUAUCAUUUGGUUCAAGAUAUUUUCCAAUAUCCUUGAGAUUUGCACUAUUUAGACGUAUAUUGCUUGUCUUCCAAAAUGCCGGGGCUCUUUUUAGCUUCCUUUUUAUCAUUGAUUUCUACUUUAAUUCCUACUUUAAAUCUGCUCUGAGCAAAUCGAGUCUUUGGAGAUUUUAUCAGUUUUGCCCACUGACCCGGUUAGGGUCAGUUUGGGUAUACAUUUUCUGCAUUUGAAGAGAAUGUGUUUCAUGAUGUGGCUGAAGCACACUUUCUUUAUGUCAGUUAAGUAAACUUACUUGUGCUUCAAGUCUUUUAUAUCAUUACAGAAUCUUUGUCUUUUUCUUGAAUCAGCUUGUAAGGAAGUUAUGUUAGCAUCUUUCACUGAGAUUGCCCAAUUUCCUGUUGCUCUUGCAACUCUUCGAGGGGAUAUAGAGUCAAACUGAUCAGAGUAAUCUAAUCAGAAACCAUACUUUCUGCCUGUGGUUUGUCCCUCACCAUUAAGGGCUUUUAUCAGAGUCCUGUGUAUUCUGCAUGCUUCUUACCUCAGGCACCUUCAAUCAGGUCUCAUCAGACUGCAGAAAAACUCCAGUCUGCUUCUCAAAAGCUUUCUGGUUGGGCUGUUAGUCAGCUGCCCUUGGUGUAAUGGCAAUGUCCACUGCCCCAGGCUGAAUCUCCACUAUCUAGAAAUGUCCUGGGGUGGUGUUGGGGUAGCACCAUCCAGGUGUUUGAAGCCCACAGGUCUCCGCCAAAGCUCUGGGGUUUUGCUGUUGCUUUUUCUGUCCUUCUAACCUUCAGCUUCUUUAAAUGGAUGUAACAUCGGAUGCUUAACUGCUUUCUCUCACAAUGAAUCUCCCUGGAUGAAAUUUUUGCAGGUCACUAACCUGAACAAGAUUUUUGCCUUCAGAUGCUUAGCUUUCUGCCUCCAUGUGUUCCUGCAUCUUUCCGCAUACUUCAAAAGAUGCCUUACCAUUUUGUAUUCCUCUUUUCCAGCUGUGUAGGCAAAACUUCCCAUCUGCCAAUGACUACUCUAUUCUACUUACAAUCAGAAAACACUCCAGUUCAAAUUAUCAGAUUAUUUCCUUUUUAUUUUUUUGUUGUUUCAGCUUUACACAGACAGGCGCUUCUUGGAUCCGAUAUAUCUACAGGUCUUGGGUGCUUUUCUGUUUUACUGUUUUUGUUUUUGGAUUUGGGGGGCUGGGGAGAGUAUGGGUAAGGAAGGGUUUCUGAUUUCCUGGAAUUUUUCUUUAAUUACCCUCCAAAGUUUGAGGGUAAAUUAAUUUUUCAUUUGCUUCUCUCUAACCAAGAGGGAAUAAAAGUGGUAUGACUUUUUUUUGUUAGUUCAUUAUUUACGAUUUUAUUUUAAAUGCAAAGAAUGGAUUUUUUACCCCUCCACAGUCACACACAAAAAUCCAAAUCCAAAUAUGGAUUUUUCAUGCAAUUCCUUAUUAUCUGAAGAAUCACUUCCUGAAAUCAAACAGGAUUUCAAGGGCUCUCUACUAUCAUCCUACCCAGAACUUUUCCCUGUGUUGCCAACAAGUGGUUUGGAUUUUGCACCUAGUCCUUGAAAAAUGUACCUGACUAGGUUUUUUGCCCACUGAGUCCUCUUGGACUAAUUUGCCUUUAACUCAAAAAAGAAACUUAAUUUGUCAUGAUUCUCUGGUCGCUUCACCGUCCUGGAAAAUAUUACAACUAGUUUUCACAUGCCUGUAACUUUCUCCUAGUUUUAAAGAGAGAGAAAGAAAGAAAAGAAAGGGAAUGCUCUGUUUUAAGUCUUGUUGCUUUUAGAUUAUGUCUAGGACAGAAGGGGGAAAUGCCAGCUUUAUGCAUCCUCAAAGAGAAUUAGCAAGCACCACUCUUAAUUCCUGUAUUUUAUGGGUGAAAUACACAAUCAAAUAGAUUGGCUCUGUAAAAUAUUUUCCUAAAUCCUCUAGCUUUUUUAUAAGAAAAGGACACCUGGCUGCCCAUAUGUUACAUUUUAAAUUGGAUUCUUAAGGUUGUAUCUUAUUUACAUAAUAGUCAAGGAUUAAAAUAUGUGGGACUAAAUCAGAAAUAUAGCAAAAGAGAUAGAGCAAUAAUUCCCAUGAAUGGAAAUUAAAAUACACACACAUAUGGAUAAACACAGAAGAGAUGCUAUAACAAUAUGGCAAUAACCAGUAUGCUUCUAAAUUAAUGAUCUAGAGUAAAACUCAGAGGAUCCUUAGAUCCUAUCGCAACAAACCUCUUAAUUAAAAUCUGUAGAAUUAUAGUGACUCAGAAGAGAAAGGAUGCUUAGUAAAAUUAAAUUUCUUUUUUGAGUUAAAGGCAAAUUAGUCUAAAGUGCUUAAUACUGUCAAUUUUUUCUCCAAAUAUUGUAGAGUCUCAGGGUAGAGAUUUACUGACCUAAAUUAAUGCAUCAGAAAGUCAUGAGAAACCACAUAAUCCUAGUCUUCAAUUCUUUCAAAUCCACAGACAGAAACAAAUAGGAGAAUUCCAAAAUAUUUAUCUUUAAUUUACAUCACUUUUCUGGCAGUCUAGUCUUAUAAAUGUUUCAGUACUUCAAUUCAGGUGAGACAAAAGAGAAGAUACUAUGUUAGCUUCAGGAAUAUUUACAACCUCAUGGAAAAAAAUUCUAUUUCCCAUGAGUAAGUAUCUCACCUCAGAAGGCUCAGUAUCUGCUUAACAACAUUGUUUGCUGCAUCGCUAAAAUUUCUGGUAAUCUUUUGCCAAAGGAACUUGCAAAAACUAACAAUAGUUAAAAAGCAGAAGGAGAUAAUUACCUUCAUUAAUGAGGUUGCUUACCAGUUUCUACAUCAGUAGCUUGCCUGGCAGGAGAGCCAGGCUAUUUUUAUGUCAAAUAUAUGUAUUUGGUAUUCUUUCAUUAUUUUCCUUAAUUUUCCUUGACUCACCUUAACUCUUGCAGAGUCUCCCCCCGCCACCCAAAUCCACCACCACUUGUAGAUAAUUCAGAUGAAGUUCACCCACUCCUGGACUUGAGGUUGCACUGGUCCUAAAAAGGUGACGUUUAUUUUAAAGAACUGAGGACCACAAACUCCAUGUUAGAUCUCCACAUUUAGGUUUAUUUUUAACACUAAGAGGAAAAAUUUAAAAACUCUGAAUGACAAGAUUGCCUUUCAUGUACUCAAUUCAAAAGUAAGCAUUAUGAAGUUUACUCUAAGCAAUGAUAUUCACAAGGGAUAAGUGAGAGAGGGACUUUGGAAGAAUAAUUAGAGUUACAAAGUUACUGAGUACUGAAGAUGUCUACAGGUUAGGUUGUUCUGUUAUUUCAUUAAAUUUAUACAAUACUCUGAUUCAAUUAAAAAUGAAUCUGUUGAUUAUCACAAUUCUUGAUGGCUUAAGAUAGGGAUGAAUAACUGGCCUAAAUGCUAAGUCCUGAGAAAAAUCCCAUAAAAUUGACCAAUUAUUUUCAUGCAAUGGCAUGUUUUAGGGGUAAAAUCAGUCCCCUGACAGUGUCAUCUGUUCUUCUGUAAAUUAAAAAUAUGAAUGAUAUUUGGCAAUGAAAGAGAAUAAAAGCAAUUAGGUGAUUUGCUAUAAAUUUUUCACUAUAAAGGCGUUUCUGUUUAUUUGUUCCCAAGUGGGAAAUCCCUACUGUUUGCCAAUAUAAAGUAAGAGUAGCAAAAUGGAGUGGCUCCUAGAAGAAAUACAUUUAAGUAAAAUGUUUAAAAAGAACUUCAAUGACUUCAUAUGAAUCAUUAUUGCCAUAUAAGACUUUGUAAAGCAAGCUAAUAGAGACCUUCAUGUGAUUCAAAGUGGUGACAAAGGGUAAUACGGCUUCCGGAGUAACGGGGAGAUGACGCAGUUUUCAGGGAUCUUAAUAUGAUCAAUGUCAUGUUUGUGUCUUUGAUGCAAAUGAAUUCAGACUCACUGUUUUACAUACAUCAUCUAUAGUUCCUAAGGAAUUAUUUACAAUCUUUUAAGGCAUAUGCUUCACAUUUAUUCCCUAGUAUUAGGAAAGGUUUGGCACACUCGUUCUUGCUAUUAGCUAGUGAAUCCUAAGAGGAGAAUUAACAACUAAUGUUCAAAGUAAUGAGAAAAUAAGCACCUUGAAGACCGAUUAAAUAAAAUUAUGACCAUAGGUGACAGAGCUGUUCAUACUUACUCGGAUCUCACAACGAGGGGUGUGUAUUUAAGACACAUUCAUUCAGAAUAAAGCAGGUGCCCGUUACUUUGAAAAGGUCACAUGGUCCACGUGAAACGUAUUGACUAAUGUAGGCUAUUGAUGUUGUCACUGUCUGUCGAUACGAUGGCUCUAAAUAACUAAUUUUUACCAAAGUGCACCAAUUUUGACUUUUGUCCACAUGACACCAAAUCCUUCAGGUAAAAGCUAAAUUACAAAGAGGAAAUGAUUUAGCCUAAACUCUAAGUGUCUUCCCACCAUAGAUGUUUAAGUUUCAAGUUUUGACUCUUGUGGCACCUCUACAGAAUUUCUCUUAUCUUUCAAUCCUUUGAUAAUGUCUGUCCUGUACCUGAGUGUCCCUCAGUACACACUACAGUCCAUUACAAUGGACAUAACGUGGAAUUUAUACUCCUGAAAAACUGGACUUACAUCCUUAUUUUUGGCAAGUAACCUAUUGUACAUCAUAAUCGUGUUUAUGAGCAGUAGCUGCUGCAUAUUGAAAAAAAUAAUCUGCGCUCCAGAAUUAAAUGUAGAAUAUCCAAAUCCUACAUAGUACUGGUAGCGUUUUGGUGUCUCAGUAAAAACAAGUGUUUAUUUCAUUAGCCAAUGAAUGAUUAAUUUAUACUCUCACACCUGCAUGUGAUUCAUCGGCAAGGUGUUUACUUUCUGUUCUUCCUC
This 5460-nucleotide long non-coding RNA is filed under the name Sus scrofa (pig). RNAcentral describes it as "lncRNA (ENSSSCG00065008281.1)". Lineage: Eukaryota; Metazoa; Chordata; Mammalia; Artiodactyla; Suidae. The record is from RNAcentral.